UCUUAUGCAAAAAAAAUACUUAAAAAUGCUGCAAAACCUCCGUGAUGUGCAUCAAACUUUUGCAGAAAUUGACAUUCAUUUCAUGGCUCUCAUGAUGUAACAGGAGGUAAUAUUAAAGGUUUAAUAACGACCAUUCUUUCUUUUUUGACAAUGCUACAAGAAGCUUGCUUGCAUUUGAAUUUUCCAAACAAAAACCGGAUCAUAAGAAACACUGAAUACUAGACUAAAAUCAAUUGAAUGGCAAUAAGAGAGGAAAAAUGCAAGAAGUAGAAUCAAUGCUUAAAAAAGAGAAAACUGCAAUAAUUCCAUGGGAAAAGAGUGCUUUUAAAGAAAAACCCCUUGACUUACACUUAAAUAUAAAUAUAAAACUGUGUGCCAGUAGGUAAAAUAAAUUGAAAUAAGAUAGAAUCAAUAUAAACAUCUCAGGUAGUUCACAGGACAAUAAAUAGUGGGAAAAGAGCCAAGUAGUUACUGGUGUCUACCAAGUUAAAUCAAAGGAUAGCAUAGACAAAGAUAGAUGCAAGAAAAUAAAAACGAGAAUAAACAUUAAUGCUUUAGAUAGGUGUCUAGAAAAUUUGCAUCAACAGCUUUGAAUUCAGGUGUGCUAAUCAUUGAUGCCUUCAAUCGAUCAAUCUUAUGCAGAGAGGAAUGCUUACCUAUGCUCCAAAACCUCAGUGAUUUACAACAAAGUUUUGCAUAAAUUGACAUUCAUUCCAUGGCCCUCAUGAAAUAAGAGGAAGUAAUGCAUAAAAUGUAAUAACUACCAUUCUUUCUUUUUGGAAAAUCCAACAAGAAAUUUGCUGGCAUUUGAAGUUUCCAAACAAUAAUCUGAUCACAAAAAACAUUUGAAACUAGACUAAAUUCAAUUGAAAGGCAAUAAGAAGGAAAUGCCAGAAGUAGAAUCAAUGUUUAGAACGGGGAAAACUGUAAUAAUUCCAUGAGAAAAAAGAAUUAAUUCUUUAGUUAUGUGUCUAGAAAAUUUGAAUCAAAUCCUUCGAAUUCAGGUGUUCUGAUCAUUGUUGCAUUCAAUUCGAUCAAUCUUAUGCAAGGAGAAA
Antechinus flavipes (yellow-footed antechinus) is the source of this 1055-nucleotide long non-coding RNA. RefSeq lists it as uncharacterized. The transcript is spliced from 3 exons. The record is from RefSeq and is a predicted model, not a curated record. NCBI's taxonomy places the organism in Eukaryota, Metazoa, Chordata, Mammalia, Dasyuromorphia, Dasyuridae.